UGGGGGAUAUUGCACAAUGGGCGAAAGCCUGAUGCAGCGACGCCGCGUGGGGGAUGAAGGCUUUCGGGUUGUAAACCUCUUUCGCUAUCGAACAAGGCCCGCUUAGGGUGGGUUGAGGGUAGGUGGAGAAGAAGCGCCGGCUAACUACGUGCCAGCAGCCGCGGUAAUACGUAGGGCGCGAGCGUUGUCCGGAAUUAUUGGGCGUAAAGGGCUUGUAGGCGGCUUGUUGCGCCUGCUGUGAAAACGCGGGGCUUAACUUCGCGCGUGCAGUGGGGACGGGGAGGCUUGAGUGUGGUAGGGGUGACUGGAAUUCCAGGUGUAGCGGUGGAAUGCGCAGAUAUCUGGAGGAACACCGAUGGCGAAGGCAGGUCACUGGGCCAUUACUGACGCUGAGGAGCGAAAGCAUGGGUAGCGAACAGG
Molecule: ribosomal RNA, 420 nt
Filed under: bacterium
Lineage: Bacteria
Description: partial 16S ribosomal RNA
Rfam family: Bacterial small subunit ribosomal RNA
Source: RNAcentral